GUAGGUGAACCUGCGGAAGGAUCAUUAUUGAAAUAAACCUGAUGGGUUGUUGCUGGUUCUCUAGGGAGCAUGUGCACGCCUUGUCAUCUUUAUAUCUCCACCUGUGCACCCUUUGUAGACCUUCCGGGUCUAUGUUGCUUCAUUUACCCCAAUGUAUGUCAAUAGAAUGUUGUGAUUAUAAAAAAUAUACAACUUUCAGCAACGGAUCUCUUGGCUCUCGCAUCGAUGAAGAACGCAGCAUCUGACUGAC
RNAcentral lists this unclassified non-coding RNA (250 nucleotides) under plant metagenome. Its description in RNAcentral is "partial contains small subunit ribosomal RNA, internal transcribed spacer 1, and 5.8S ribosomal RNA". The stretch from base 191 to 250 matches the Rfam family "5.8S ribosomal RNA", at positions 1 to 56 of the family's 154-position model. The record is from RNAcentral.